Molecule: ribosomal RNA, 94 nt
Filed under: Muribaculaceae bacterium Isolate-037 (Harlan)
Lineage: Bacteria; Pseudomonadati; Bacteroidota; Bacteroidia; Bacteroidales; Muribaculaceae
Description: partial 16S ribosomal RNA
Rfam family: Bacterial small subunit ribosomal RNA
Source: RNAcentral
CGAGGCGCGCCCUAGAGCGAAAUCGGUGACUGGGGCUAAGUCGUAACAAGGUAGCCGUACCGGAAGGUGCGGCUGGAACACCUCCUUUCUGGAG